ACUAACGCUGGCGGCGUGCCUAACACAUGCAAGUCGAACGGAGUGUUGUUUGUAGCAAUACGGGCAAUAUUUAGUGGCAAACGGGUGAGUAAUACGCAGACAACGUACCCCUCUGCUGGAAAUAACCAUUCGAAAGGGUGGUUAAUGUCGAAUAAUCUCACUGGGUGGCAUCAUCUGGUGAGUAAAGUAGCAAUGCGCGGAGGGAGCGGUUUGCGGCCUAUUAGCUAGUUGGUAGGGUAACGGCCUACCAAGGCUACGAUGGGUAGCCGGUCUGAGAGGAUGAACGGCCACACUGGCACUGAGACACGGGCCAGACUCCUACGGGAGGCAGCAGUGAGGGAUUUUGCGCAAUGGAGGAAACUCUGACGCAGCGACGCCGCGUGGGUGAUGAAGGUCUUCGGAUUGUAAAGCCCUGUCAGUGGGAACGAGUAAGGACGGUACCCGCUGAGGAAGCAUCGGCUAACUACGU
RNAcentral lists this ribosomal RNA (469 nucleotides) under uncultured bacterium. RNAcentral describes it as "bacterial SSU rRNA". It matches the Rfam family "Bacterial small subunit ribosomal RNA", at positions 29 to 506 of the family's 1533-position model. The record is from RNAcentral.